RNAcentral lists this ribosomal RNA (408 nucleotides) under Chironius sp. RNAcentral describes it as "partial 12S ribosomal RNA". The record is from RNAcentral. Lineage: Eukaryota; Metazoa; Chordata; Lepidosauria; Squamata; Colubridae.
CGCCAAAUAACUACGAGUGAAAACUUAAAAUUUAAAAGACUUGACGGUACCUCACAACAGCCUAGAGGAGCCUGUCUAAUAACCGAUACUCCACGAUCAACCCAACCCCCCCUAGCCAAACAGUCUAUAUACCGCCGUCGCCAGCCUACCUUAUGAAAGAAACAAAGUAAGCCAAAUAGUUACACACUAACACGACAGGUCGAGGUGUAACUAAUGGGGGGGCCUAAGAUGGGCUACAUUUUCUAACACAGAAAAUACGAAUAAACUAUGAAACAAGAAACUGAAGGCGGAUUUAGCAGUAUAUUAAGAACAAAAUACAUACUAGAAACUAACGCAAUGAGGUGCGUACACACCGCCCGUCAUCCCUGUCAACAACCAAUUUAAACCUCCAUAAACAAAUAAAAAAUU